This 803-nucleotide ribosomal RNA is filed under the name uncultured crenarchaeote. RNAcentral's name for it is "bacterial SSU rRNA". It matches the Rfam family "Archaeal small subunit ribosomal RNA", at positions 48 to 859 of the family's 1478-position model. Lineage: Archaea; Thermoproteati; Thermoproteota. The record is from RNAcentral.
GCCAUGCGAGUCAACAUAGCAAUAUGUGGCAUACGGCUCAGUAACACGUAGUCAACAUGCCCAGGGGACGUGGAUAACCUCGGGAAACUGAGGAUAAACCGCGAUAGGUCAUCACUUCUGGAAUGGGUAAUGACUUAAAUCUACAUGGCCCCUGGAUUGGACUGCGGCCGAUCAGGCUGUUGGUGAGGUAAUGGCCCACCAAACCUGUAACCGGUACGGGCUCUGAGAGGAGGAGCCCGGAGAUGGGCACUGAGACAAGGGCCCAGGCCCUAUGGGGCGCAGCAGGCGCGAAACCUCUGCAAUAGGCGAAAGCUUGACAGGGUUACUCUGAGUGAUUUCCGUUAAGGAGAUCUUUUGGCACCUCUAAAAAUGGUGCAGAAUAAGGGGUGGGCAAGUCUGGUGUCAGCCGCCGCGGUAAUACCAGCACCCCGAGUGGUCGGGACGUUUAUUGGGCCUAAAGCAUCCGUAGCCGGUUCUACAAGUCUUCCGUUAAAUCCACCUGCUUAACAGAUGGGCUGCGGAAGAUACUAUAGAGCUAGGAGGCGGGAGAGGCAAGCGGUACUCGAUGGGUAGGGGUAAAAUCCGUUGAUCCAUUGAAGACCACCAGUGGCGAAGGCGGCUUGCCAGAACGCGCUCGACGGUGAGGGAUGAAAGCUGGGGGAGCAAACCGGAUUAGAUACCCGGGUAGUCCCAGCUGUAAACGAUGCAGACUCGGUGAUGAGUUGGCUUAUUGCUAACUCAGUGCCGCAGGAAAGCCGUUAAGUUUGCCGCCUGGGGAGUACGGUCGCAAGACUGAAACUUAA